Molecule: ribosomal RNA, 2903 nt
Filed under: Escherichia coli
Lineage: Bacteria; Pseudomonadati; Pseudomonadota; Gammaproteobacteria; Enterobacterales; Enterobacteriaceae
Description: 23S ribosomal RNA
Rfam family: Bacterial large subunit ribosomal RNA
Source: RNAcentral
GGUUAAGCGACUAAGCGUACACGGUGGAUGCCCUGGCAGUCAGAGGCGAUGAAGGACGUGCUAAUCUGCGAUAAGCGUCGGUAAGGUGAUAUGAACCGUUAUAACCGGCGAUUUCCGAAUGGGGAAACCCAGUGUGUUUCGACACACUAUCAUUAACUGAAUCCAUAGGUUAAUGAGGCGAACCGGGGGAACUGAAACAUCUAAGUACCCCGAGGAAAAGAAAUCAACCGAGAUUCCCCCAGUAGCGGCGAGCGAACGGGGAGCAGCCCAGAGCCUGAAUCAGUGUGUGUGUUAGUGGAAGCGUCUGGAAAGGCGCGCGAUACAGGGUGACAGCCCCGUACACAAAAAUGCACAUACUGUGAGCUCGAUGAGUAGGGCGGGACACGUGGUAUCCUGUCUGAAUAUGGGGGGACCAUCCUCCAAGGCUAAAUACUCCUGACUGACCGAUAGUGAACCAGUACCGUGAGGGAAAGGCGAAAAGAACCCCGGCGAGGGGAGUGAAAAAGAACCUGAAACCGUGUACGUACAAGCAGUGGGAGCACGCUUAGGCGUGUGACUGCGUACCUUUUGUAUAAUGGGUCAGCGACUUAUAUUCUGUAGCAAGGUUAACCGAAUAGGGGAGCCGAAGGGAAACCGAGUCUUAACUGGGCGUUAAGUUGCAGGGUAUAGACCCGAAACCCGGUGAUCUAGCCAUGGGCAGGUUGAAGGUUGGGUAACACUAACUGGAGGACCGAACCGACUAAUGUUGAAAAAUUAGCGGAUGACUUGUGGCUGGGGGUGAAAGGCCAAUCAAACCGGGAGAUAGCUGGUUCUCCCCGAAAGCUAUUUAGGUAGCGCCUCGUGAAUUCAUCUCCGGGGGUAGAGCACUGUUUCGGCAAGGGGGUCAUCCCGACUUACCAACCCGAUGCAAACUGCGAAUACCGGAGAAUGUUAUCACGGGAGACACACGGCGGGUGCUAACGUCCGUCGUGAAGAGGGAAACAACCCAGACCGCCAGCUAAGGUCCCAAAGUCAUGGUUAAGUGGGAAACGAUGUGGGAAGGCCCAGACAGCCAGGAUGUUGGCUUAGAAGCAGCCAUCAUUUAAAGAAAGCGUAAUAGCUCACUGGUCGAGUCGGCCUGCGCGGAAGAUGUAACGGGGCUAAACCAUGCACCGAAGCUGCGGCAGCGACACUAUGUGUUGUUGGGUAGGGGAGCGUUCUGUAAGCCUGUGAAGGUGUACUGUGAGGUAUGCUGGAGGUAUCAGAAGUGCGAAUGCUGACAUAAGUAACGAUAAAGCGGGUGAAAAGCCCGCUCGCCGGAAGACCAAGGGUUCCUGUCCAACGUUAAUCGGGGCAGGGUGAGUCGACCCCUAAGGCGAGGCCGAAAGGCGUAGUCGAUGGGAAACAGGUUAAUAUUCCUGUACUUGGUGUUACUGCGAAGGGGGGACGGAGAAGGCUAUGUUGGCCGGGCGACGGUUGUCCCGGUUUAAGCGUGUAGGCUGGUUUUCCAGGCAAAUCCGGAAAAUCAAGGCUGAGGCGUGAUGACGAGGCACUACGGUGCUGAAGCAACAAAUGCCCUGCUUCCAGGAAAAGCCUCUAAGCAUCAGGUAACAUCAAAUCGUACCCCAAACCGACACAGGUGGUCAGGUAGAGAAUACCAAGGCGCUUGAGAGAACUCGGGUGAAGGAACUAGGCAACAUGGUGCCGUAACUUCGGGAGAAGGCACGCUGAUAUGUAGGUGAAGUCCCUCGCGGAUGGAGCUGAAAUCAGUCGAAGAUACCAGCUGGCUGCAACUGUUUAUUAAAAACACAGCACUGUGCAAACACGAAAGUGGACGUAUACGGUGUGACGCCUGCCCGGUGCCGGAAGGUUAAUUGAUGGGGUCAGCGCAAGCGAAGCUCUUGAUCGAAGCCCCGGUAAACGGCGGCCGUAACUAUAACGGUCCUAAGGUAGCGAAAUUCCUUGUCGGGUAAGUUCCGACCUGCACGAAUGGCGUAAUGAUGGCCAGGCUGUCUCCACCCGAGACUCAGUGAAAUUGAACUCGCUGUGAAGAUGCAGUGUACCCGCGGCAAGACGGAAAGACCCCGUGAACCUUUACUAUAGCUUGACACUGAACAUUGAGCCUUGAUGUGUAGGAUAGGUGGGAGGCUUUGAAGUGUGGACGCCAGUCUGCAUGGAGCCGACCUUGAAAUACCACCCUUUAAUGUUUGAUGUUCUAACGUUGACCCGUGAUCCGGGUUGCGGACAGUGUCUGGUGGGUAGUUUGACUGGGGCGGUCUCCUCCUAAAGAGUAACGGAGGAGCACGAAGGUUGGCUAAUCCUGGUCGGACAUCAGGAGGUUAGUGCAAUGGCAUAAGCCAGCUUGACUGCGAGCGUGACGGCGCGAGCAGGUGCGAAAGCAGGUCAUAGUGAUCCGGUGGUUCUGAAUGGAAGGGCCAUCGCUCAACGGAUAAAAGGUACUCCGGGGAUAACAGGCUGAUACCGCCCAAGAGUUCAUAUCGACGGCGGUGUUUGGCACCUCGAUGUCGGCUCAUCACAUCCUGGGGCUGAAGUAGGUCCCAAGGGUAUGGCUGUUCGCCAUUUAAAGUGGUACGCGAGCUGGGUUUAGAACGUCGUGAGACAGUUCGGUCCCUAUCUGCCGUGGGCGCUGGAGAACUGAGGGGGGCUGCUCCUAGUACGAGAGGACCGGAGUGGACGCAUCACUGGUGUUCGGGUUGUCAUGCCAAUGGCACUGCCCGGUAGCUAAAUGCGGAAGAGAUAAGUGCUGAAAGCAUCUAAGCACGAAACUUGCCCCGAGAUGAGUUCUCCCUGACUCCUUGAGAGUCCUGAAGGAACGUUGAAGACGACGACGUUGAUAGGCCGGGUGUGUAAGCGCAGCGAUGCGUUGAGCUAACCGGUACUAAUGAACCGUGAGGCUUAACCUU